RNAcentral lists this long non-coding RNA (408 nucleotides) under Mytilus galloprovincialis (Mediterranean mussel). Lineage: Eukaryota; Metazoa; Mollusca; Bivalvia; Mytilida; Mytilidae. The record is from RNAcentral.
CAACUGAGUAUGCCCCUCUUAGUACAAAAAAUAAUAUACUCAAGACUGCCAUCUUAGUUCAAAAUUGAUAUGGUAACUCUUCAAACUCCAGACAAACAUUAUUAUUCUAACUCUUCGAACUCCAGAAUACCUUCAAAGUAGUUCACAUACUGGUACGGUUACUCACCAAAUUCCAGACUCCCAUCCAAGUACAAAAAAAGCUACUAAAUUACAACUCUUCAAUUCCUGAGUGACUAUCUUCUAAAAGUAUAAGUUAAUACAUGCAUAUCUUUUCAAACUCCUGACUACAUUUCUUAGAAUUAUCAUUGAUAUUGCCAUUUUUUUAAACUUCAGACUUUCCUCGAAGAAUAAACAUUGGUAUAUUGAUAUUGUAAUUUUUCACACUUCGGGCUUACUCUUUACCAGCAA